Molecule: ribosomal RNA, 396 nt
Filed under: uncultured soil bacterium
Lineage: Bacteria
Description: bacterial SSU rRNA
Rfam family: Bacterial small subunit ribosomal RNA
Source: RNAcentral
CGUGGCGAGCGGGUGCGUAACACGUGGAUAACCUUCCUUCAAGUGGGGAAUAACUCGCCGAAAGGCGAGCUAAUACCGCAUAACAAAACCGCAUGCAAAGGCGCGCUAGAAGAGGGAUCCGCGGCCGAUUAGCUUGUUGGCGGGGUAACGGCCCACCAAGGCAAUGAUCGGUAGCCGGACUGAGAGGUUGGCCGGCCACAUUGGAACUGAGACACGGUCCAGACUCCUACGGGAGGCAGCAGUGGGGAAUAUUGCGCAAUGGGCGAAAGCCUGACGCAGCGACGCCGCGUGGGGGAUGAAGCUUCUCGGAGUGUAAACCCCUUUCGACCCGGACGAAUGACGGUACGGGUAUAAGAAGCCCCGGCUAACUACGUGCCAGCAGCCGCGGUAAAACGU